RNAcentral lists this long non-coding RNA (1075 nucleotides) under Athene cunicularia (burrowing owl). RNAcentral describes it as "lncRNA (ENSACUG00000004219.1)". The record is from RNAcentral. Lineage: Eukaryota; Metazoa; Chordata; Aves; Strigiformes; Strigidae.
AACGUUUUCCCAAGCUAAUGGAGGAAAAGUUUGUAGGAAAAAGUAAGAUAUUUUAUUAGAUGCAAUUAUUGCUUUCAGGUUUAUUUCAAGGAAGUGCUCCUGUAAAUUUGCGCUGAGCUAACUAAUGAAAACAUACCAAAAGUAAUGGAGGAACUGAUUGUAAUCCCAGAUGACUAAGAAGGAAGAGAAUGCUUUACCGUUAAAUUACCUAUGCCUUACAGUCCAGCUGUCCUGAAGAAAGUUUGAAGGGAAUUUUAAUUUACUGAUACUUAAGGGUAACACUUGGACAUAGCAGCUCAACUUAACUUUGAGAGUUAGGUGUACUGGUCCUAAAGUUAAUUUUUACAGACUUCCCUGACAGCAUUUCUCCUGAGACCACUUAAAGGACAAGAUCGUAUAUUCCGGCAUAGUGAAGGAAUGGGUGCAUCUUUUUCUAGAAGUUACAAUAUUCAGCCUGGAAGUCCCAGUUUGCAAAUGUUAUUCAUGCAUUGUCAAAUCAAGAAAAGUUGCAGGGAGAAGCACAGCAAACUUGUCUAACUGAGAACAAGAAGAGCAGUGAGUGAGUCUUUCCUUAUGGGGCACAGGAGGUGCAAGGAGACAAGGCAAAGAAAGAAAAUGGAGUGGGGAACAAAUAUCCUCAAGAUCUGCCUUUGGAUAACUUGGAGUUUGUGCCUGUGCAGUUGCCAGUUUGAUAUGACACACGUUUACUAGUUAUUUGAUCGCAUUACUUUGCGGAAGGUAGUUAUUUUCUACAGUAUGCAUCAUAUGUGUAUCCUGAAGACUGUCGGGACACGAGGAACCCCUAUGUUACAGAAAAGAGACAUUUUGGAACAGAGGCAACUGUUUUGUUUGCAUCAAAUGCUGCCUGGGCCCAUCUCAGUAGACACCGGUGAGGAAACUGCAACUUACUGCUACUCUUCAGUCCAUUUUGCUUGAGGGAACAAGACCCAUGGUAUGGUGGUGGUUUGCUGCUGGUUCUCUCAGCUUAGAAUAACAUGAUGCAAACUGCAGCUUUUGCUCACAUCUGUAAGGAUUAGAUGGAUGGUCACUCAACCACUGGAGGCUCCUGUCCUUU